RNAcentral lists this ribosomal RNA (406 nucleotides) under uncultured bacterium. RNAcentral's name for it is "partial 16S ribosomal RNA". It matches the Rfam family "Bacterial small subunit ribosomal RNA", at positions 30 to 526 of the family's 1533-position model. The record is from RNAcentral.
AUUGAACGCUGGCGUCAGGCCUAACACAUGCAAGUCGCACGCUUGGCGGACUGGUUAGUAUUUUCUGGGAAACUGCCUGAUUGAGGUGUCUAACUUCUGGAAACGGUAGCUAACACCUCAUACCAUCAUAUGUGCCCAGAUUGGUUUAGCUUGUUGGUGGUGUAACGUCGCACCAAGGCGACGAUCCCUCGCUGGUCUGAUAGGAUGACCAGACACAAUGGAACUGAGACACGGUCCAGACGCCUACGGGAGGAAGAAGUGGGGAAUAUUGAACAAUGGGCGCAAGCCUGAUGCAGCCAGGCCGCGUGGAUGAAGAAGGACUUCGGGUUGUAAAGUACUUUCAGCGGGGAGGCGUUACCCGCAGAAGAAGCACCGGCUAACUCCGUGCCAGCAGCCGCGGUAAUAC